UUUAUGAAUAAAGAAACAAAAAAUAACACAUACCCCAAACAUUGCAAACACAAAACCCUCAAAAACCUAACAAUAGUGUCUGUCAACAUCAUCCUGGGAGGGAUAAUACACUGCACUACAAUAGAAAUACAAAUCCCUAUCAUCUAUAUCUCAAUGGGUUCCAUCUUUUCUUUUGUUCUUUUUUCUAAUGCGGUUUUAUAAUCCCUGAGACAAGUAAAUCUGGCCCUAGAGUGUUAUAUAUAUUAGCGUCUGUAGCAUGUAUAAGGGACAUGUUAUCAUACCUGUGUCUUUUUAUAGGUGAUUAAUGCCCGGUGAGAGGGUGAAAGGGACCUAUAACCCCGUCAGCUGCAGGAAAGGAACAAAGAGACAGGUGAUUAAUGCCCGGUGAGAGGGUGAAAGGGACCUAUACCCCCGUCAGCUGCAGGAAAGGAACAAAGAGACAGGUGAUUAAUGCCCGGUGAGAGGGUGAAAGGGACCUAUACCCCCGUCAGCUGCAGGAAAGGAACAAAGAAACAGGUAAUUAAU
Molecule: long non-coding RNA, 525 nt
Organism: Hyla sarda
Lineage: Eukaryota; Metazoa; Chordata; Amphibia; Anura; Hylidae
Exons: 3
Source: RefSeq, a predicted model, not a curated record